Molecule: transfer RNA, 73 nt
Filed under: Marmota monax (woodchuck)
Lineage: Eukaryota; Metazoa; Chordata; Mammalia; Rodentia; Sciuridae
Description: tRNA.Ala
Rfam family: tRNA (bases 8-68)
About the family: Transfer RNA (tRNA) molecules are approximately 80 nucleotides in length. Their secondary structure includes four short double-helical elements and three loops (D, anti-codon, and T loops). Further hydrogen bonds mediate the characteristic L-shaped molecular structure. tRNAs have two regions of fundamental functional importance: the anti-codon, which is responsible for specific mRNA codon recognition, and the 3' end, to which the tRNAs corresponding amino acid is attached (by aminoacyl-tRNA synthetases). tRNAs cope with the degeneracy of the genetic code in two manners: having more than one tRNA (with a specific anti-codon) for a particular amino acid; and 'wobble' base-pairing, i.e. permitting non-standard base-pairing at the 3rd anti-codon position.
Source: RNAcentral
GCGGGGCUGGGGCUCAGUGGUAGAGCACUUGCCUGGCAUGUGUGAGGCCCUGGGUUCGAUUCUCAGCACCGCA